RNAcentral lists this ribosomal RNA (468 nucleotides) under uncultured bacterium. RNAcentral's name for it is "partial 16S ribosomal RNA". It matches the Rfam family "Bacterial small subunit ribosomal RNA", at positions 28 to 507 of the family's 1533-position model. The record is from RNAcentral.
GACGAACGCUGGCGGCGUGCUUAACACAUGCAAGUCGAACGGUAAAGCCCUGCGUUGGUGGGCUGCUCGGGAGGCGUGAGGAUGAGUUACACGAGAUUAACCUGCCCUUGACUUUGCUACAACUUCUGGAGACUAGUGCUAAUACCUGACCGGUUCUCGCGCUGCAGGGUGUGGGAUGGAUUGUCUGCGGGGGUGGGGAUGGACUCGCGGCUUAUCAGCUUGUUGGUGGGGGAGUGGCUUACCAAGGCUUGGACGGGUAGCCGGCCUGAGAGGGUGACCGGCCACAUUGGGACUGAGAUACGGCCCAGACUCCUACGGGAGGCAGCAGUGGGGAAUAUUGCGCAAUGGGCGGAAGCCUGAUGCAGCAACGCCGCGUGCGGGAUGACGGCCUUCGGGUUGUAAACCGCUUUCGCCUGUGACGAAGCGUGAGUGACGGUAAUGGGUAAAGAAGCACCGGCUAACUACGUG